Molecule: ribosomal RNA, 253 nt
Filed under: uncultured bacterium
Lineage: Bacteria
Description: partial 16S ribosomal RNA
Rfam family: Bacterial small subunit ribosomal RNA
Source: RNAcentral
UACGAAGGAUCCAAGCGUUGUCCGGAUUUACUGGGCUUAAAGGGUGCGUAGGCGGGUUAUUAAGUCAGUGGUGAAAGCUUGCAGCUUAACUGUAAAAUUGCCAUUGAAACUGAUAAUCUUGAAUAUGGUUGAGGUAGUUGGAAUGUAUCAUGUAGCGGUGAAAUGCUUAGAUAUGAUGCAGAACACCGAUUGCGAAGGCAGAUUACUGAGCCAUUAUUGACGCUGAGGCACGAAAGCGUGGGGAGCAAACAGG